This 544-nucleotide ribosomal RNA is filed under the name uncultured archaeon. RNAcentral's name for it is "bacterial SSU rRNA". It matches the Rfam family "Archaeal small subunit ribosomal RNA", at positions 333 to 879 of the family's 1478-position model. The record is from RNAcentral.
CAGCAGGCGCGAAAAUUUUGCAAUACACGAAAGUGUGACAGGGUCAUCCCGAGUGCCGACCGCUGAGGUUGGCUUUUACCCAGUCUAGAAAGCUGGGGGAAUAAGGAGAGGGCAAGUCUGGUGUCAGCCGCCGCGGUAAUACCAGCUCUCCGAGUGGUGUGGACGUUUAUUGGGCCUAAAGCAUCCGUAGCUGGCUGAACAAGUCCCCUGUUAAACCCACCGAUUUAAUCGUUGGUCUGCGGGGGAUACUGCUCGGCUAGGGGACGAGAGAGGCAGACGGUAUUCCCGGGGUAGGGGUGAAAUCCUAUAAUCCCGAGAAGACCACCAGUGGCGAAGGCUGUCUGCUAGAACGCGCCCGACGGUGAGGGAUGAAAGCUGGGGGAGCGAACCGGAUUAGAUACCCGGGUAGUCCCAGCUGUAAACGAUGCAGACUAGGUGUUUGGACGGCCACGUGCCGUUCUAGUGCCGCAGGGAAGCUGUUAAGUCUGCCGCCUGGGGAGUACGAUCGCAAGAUUGAAACUUAAAGGAAUUGGCGGGGGAGCAC